CAUCGCGCAACGGAUAAAAGCUACCUCGGGGAUAACAGGCUGAGCUCCCCCAAGAGUUCACAUCGACGGGGAGGUUUGGCACCUCGAUGUCGGCUCGUCGCAUCCUGGGGCUGUAGUCGGUCCCAAGGGUUGGGCUGUUCGCCCAUUAAAGCGGUACGCGAGCUGGGUUCAGAACGUCGUGAGACAGUUCGGUCCCUAUCCGUCGCGGGCGUAGGAAAUUUGAGAGGAGCUGUCCUUAGUACGAGAGGACCGGGAUGGACUGACCUCUGGUGUACCAGUUGUUCCGCCAGGAGCACAGCUGGGUAGCUAAGUCGGGAAUGGAUAAACGCUGAAAG
RNAcentral lists this ribosomal RNA (335 nucleotides) under Vibrio cholerae O1. RNAcentral's name for it is "partial 23S ribosomal RNA". It matches the Rfam family "Bacterial large subunit ribosomal RNA", at positions 2443 to 2777 of the family's 2925-position model. Lineage: Bacteria; Pseudomonadati; Pseudomonadota; Gammaproteobacteria; Vibrionales; Vibrionaceae. The record is from RNAcentral.